GCCAGGCGCAGUGGUGUGUGCCUGUAGUCCCAGCUAUGCGGGAGGCUGAGACAGGAGGAUCACAUGAGUCCAGGAGUUCUAGGCUGUAGUGCACUAUGCAGAUUGGGUGUCCACACUAAGUUCGGCAUCAAUAUGGUGACCUCCCAGGAGCAGGGGACCACCAGGUUGCCUAAGGAGGGGUGAACUGACCCAGGUCGGAAAUGGAGCAGGUCAAAGCUCCCGUUCUGAUCAGUAGUGGGAUUGCGUCUGUGAAUAGACACUGCACUCCAGCCUGGGCAACAUAGUGAGACCCUGUCUCAA
Non-coding RNA from Otolemur garnettii (small-eared galago), 300 nucleotides. The record is from Rfam. Lineage: Eukaryota; Metazoa; Chordata; Mammalia; Primates; Galagidae.